Molecule: ribosomal RNA, 450 nt
Filed under: uncultured organism
Description: partial 16S ribosomal RNA
Rfam family: Bacterial small subunit ribosomal RNA
Source: RNAcentral
CGUACACUCCUGCGGGAGGCAGCAGUGGGGAAUAUUGGACAAUGGGCGCAAGCCUGAUCCAGCCAUGCCGCGUGAGUGAUGAAGGCCCUAGGGUUGUAAAGCUCUUUUGUGCGGGAAGAUAAUGACGGUACCGCAAGAAUAAGCCCCGGCUAACUUCGUGCCAGCAGCCGCGGUAAUACGAAGGGGGCUAGCGUUGCUCGGAAUCACUGGGCGUAAAGGGUGCGUAGGCGGGUCUUUAAGUCAGGGGUGAAAUCCUGGAGCUCAACUCCAGAACUGCCUUUGAUACUGAAGAUCUUGAGUUCGGGAGAGGUGAGUGGAACUGCGAGUGUAGAGGUGAAAUUCGUAGAUAUUCGCAAGAACACCAGUGGCGAAGGCGGCUCACUGGCCCGAUACUGACGCUGAGGCACGAAAGCGUGGGGAGCAAACAGGAUUAGAUACCCCGGUAGUCCC